Molecule: ribosomal RNA, 499 nt
Filed under: uncultured bacterium
Lineage: Bacteria
Description: bacterial SSU rRNA
Rfam family: Bacterial small subunit ribosomal RNA
Source: RNAcentral
GAGACAGGUGGUGCAUGGUUGUCGUCAGCUCGUGUCGUGAGAUGUUGGGUUAAGUCCCGCAACGAGCGCAACCCCUACCCCCAGUAGCCAGCGCGUGGAGGCGGGCACUCUGUGGGGACUGCCAGGGACAACCUGGAGGAAGGCGGGGAUGACGUCAAAUCAUCAUGCCCCUUAUGGCUUGGGCUACACACGUGCUACAAUGGCGUUAACAGAGGGAUGCGAUGCGGCGACGCGGAGCGAACCCCAGAAACAGCGCCCCAGUUCGGAUUGCAGCCUGCAACUCGGCUGCAUGAAGCCGGAAUCGCUAGUAAUCGCGGAUCAGAAUGCCGCGGUGAAUACGUUCCCGGGUCUUGUACACACCGCCCGUCACACCAUGGGAGUUGGGAAUGCCCGAAGUCAGUGGCCCAACCGUAAGGGGGGAGCUGCCGAAGGCAGAUCCGAUGACUGGGGUGAAGUCGUAACAAGGUAGCCGUAUCGGAAGGUGCGGCUGGAUCACCUC